GGGGGGGGGGGGGGGGGGGGCGGGGGGAGGCGGGGGGAACGGCAGCACAGUAGGAGCUUGCUCUUACGGGUGGCGAGUGGCGGACGGGUGAGGAAUACAUCGGAAUCUACUUUUUCGUGGGGGCUAACGUAGGGAAACUUACGCUACUACCGCAUACGACCUACGGGUGAAAGCCGGGGAUCUUCGGACCUUGCGCGAUUGAAUGAGCCGCUGUCGGAUUAGCUAGUUGGCGGGGUAAAGGCCCACCAAGGCGACGAUCCGUAGCUGGUCUGAGAGGAUGAUCAGCCACACUGGAACUGAGACACGGUCCAGACUCCUACGGGAGGCAGCAGUGGGGAAUAUUGGACAAUGGGCGCAAGCCUGAUCCAGCCAUACCGCGUGGGUGAAGAAGGCCUUCGGGUUGUAAAGCCCUUUUGUUGGGAAAGAAAAGCAGCAGGUUAAUACCCCGCUGUUCUGACGGUACCCAAAGAAUAAGCACCGGCUAACUUCGUG
Molecule: ribosomal RNA, 492 nt
Filed under: uncultured bacterium
Lineage: Bacteria
Description: partial 16S ribosomal RNA
Rfam family: Bacterial small subunit ribosomal RNA
Source: RNAcentral